Molecule: ribosomal RNA, 470 nt
Filed under: uncultured cyanobacterium
Lineage: Bacteria; Bacillati; Cyanobacteriota
Description: bacterial SSU rRNA
Rfam family: Bacterial small subunit ribosomal RNA
Source: RNAcentral
GCAAUGGGCGAAAGCCUGACGGAGCAAUACCGCGUGAGGGAGGAAGGCUUUUGGGUUGUAAACCUCUUUUCUCAAGGAAGAAGAUAUGACGGUACUUGAGGAAUAAGCAUCGGCUAACUCCGUGCCAGCAGCCGCGGUAAUACGGAGGAUGCAAGCGUUAUCCGGAAUGAUUGGGCGUAAAGCGUCUGCAGGUGGCUAUGCAAGUCUGCUGUUAAAGAGUGGAGCUCAACUCCAUAAGGGCAGUGGAAACUGCGUGACUAGAGUACGUUCGGGGUAGAGGGAAUUCCUGGUGUAGCGGUGAAAUGCGUAGAUAUCAGGAAGAACACCGGUGGCGAAAGCGCUCUACUAGGCCGUAACUGACACUGAGAGACGAAAGCUAAGGGAGCGAAUGGGAUUAGAUACCCCAGUAGUCUUAGCCGUAAACGAUGGAUACUAGGCGUUGCUUGUAUCGACCCGAGCCGUGCCGAAGC